CUCCUACGGGAGGCAGCAGUGGGGAAUAUUGCACAAUGGAGGGAACUCUGAUGCAGCGACGCCGCGUGAGUGAAGAAGUAAUUCGUUAUGUAAGCGCUAUCAGCAGGGAAGAAAAUGACGGUACCUGACUAAGAAGCCCCGGCUAACUACGUGCCAGCAGCCGCGGUAAUACGUAGGGGGCAAGCGUUAUCCGGAUUUACUGGGUGUAAAGGGAGCGUAGACGGAGGAGCAAGUCUGAUGUGAAAAUCCGGGGCCCAACCC
This 261-nucleotide ribosomal RNA is filed under the name uncultured bacterium. Its description in RNAcentral is "partial 16S ribosomal RNA". It matches the Rfam family "Bacterial small subunit ribosomal RNA", at positions 336 to 615 of the family's 1533-position model. The record is from RNAcentral.